RNAcentral lists this ribosomal RNA (444 nucleotides) under uncultured prokaryote. RNAcentral's name for it is "bacterial SSU rRNA". It matches the Rfam family "Bacterial small subunit ribosomal RNA", at positions 355 to 796 of the family's 1533-position model. The record is from RNAcentral.
UAGGGAAUAUUGGUCAAUGGACGGAAGUCUGAACCAGCCAUGCCGCGUGCAGGAAGACGGCCUUCCGGGUUGUAAAUUGCUUUUAUCAGGGAAGAAUAAGCUUCUUGCGAGGGGUGAUGCCUGUACCUGGUGAAUAAGCACCGGCUAACUCCGUGCCAGCAGCCGCGGUAAUACGGAGGGUGCGAGCGUUGUCCGGAUUUAUUGGGUUUAAAGGGUGCGUAGGCGGCCUGUUAAGUCAGUGGUGAAAGGUAUCAGCUCAACUGAUGACGUGCCAUUGAAACUGGCGGGCUUGAGUACAGACGAGGUAGGCGGAAUUUAUGGUGUAGCGGUGAAAUGCAUAGAUACCAUAAAGAACACCGAUAGCGAAGGCAGCUUACUAGGCUGAGACUGACGCUGAGGCACGAAAGCGUGGGGAGCGAACAGGAUUAGAUACCCCCGUAGUCC